RNAcentral lists this small nucleolar RNA (84 nucleotides) under Eutypa lata UCREL1. The record is from RNAcentral. Lineage: Eukaryota; Fungi; Ascomycota; Sordariomycetes; Xylariales; Diatrypaceae.
UCUACAUGAUGAGACAUUUUUAUUCAGUUCUGCUUCUGAACUAAAGUGAAGAUACCCCAUAUACCAAAGUCUACUCUCUGAAUU